UAGGCAAGAGCAAACCCUGGGUGGA
Molecule: non-coding RNA, 25 nt
Filed under: Rattus norvegicus (Norway rat)
Lineage: Eukaryota; Metazoa; Chordata; Mammalia; Rodentia; Muridae
Source: RNAcentral